Molecule: ribosomal RNA, 377 nt
Filed under: uncultured bacterium
Lineage: Bacteria
Description: bacterial SSU rRNA
Rfam family: Bacterial small subunit ribosomal RNA
Source: RNAcentral
UAAUACAGAGGGUGCGAGCGUUAAUCGGAAUAACUGGGCGUAAAGGGCGCGUAGGCGGUUGAUCAAGUGAGAGGUGAAAUCCCCGGGCUUAACCUGGGAACAGCCUUUCAGACUGGUUAGCUAGAGUACAGUAGAGGGUGGUGGAAUUUCCGGUGUAGCGGUGAAAUGCGUAGAGAUCGGAAGGAACAUCAGUGGCGAAGGCGACCACCUGGACUGACACUGACGCUGAGGCGCGAAAGCGUGGGUAGCAAACAGGAUUAGAUACCCUGGUAGUCCACGCUGUAAACGAUGAGAACUAGAUGUUUGUUUGCGCGAGCGAAUGAGUAUCGAAGCUAACGCGAUAAGUUCUCCGCCUGGGGAGUACGGCCGCAAGGUUA